UACGAAGGGGGCUAGCGUUGCUCGGAACUACUGGGCGUAAAGCGCACGUAGGCGGUUUCUUAAGUCGGGGGUGAAAUCCUGGAGCUCAACUCCAGAACUGCCUUCGAUACUGGGAAACUUGAGUCCGGGAGAGGUGAGUGGAACUGCGAGUGUAGAGGUGAAAUUCGUAGAUAUUCGCAAGAACACCAGUGGCGAAGGCGGCUCACUGGCCCGGUACUGACGCUGAGGUGCGAAAGCGUGGGGAGCAAACAGG
RNAcentral lists this ribosomal RNA (253 nucleotides) under uncultured bacterium. RNAcentral's name for it is "partial 16S ribosomal RNA". It matches the Rfam family "Bacterial small subunit ribosomal RNA", at positions 524 to 776 of the family's 1533-position model. The record is from RNAcentral.